RNAcentral lists this non-coding RNA (45 nucleotides) under Schistosoma mattheei. Lineage: Eukaryota; Metazoa; Platyhelminthes; Trematoda; Strigeidida; Schistosomatidae. The record is from RNAcentral.
AUCCAGCUGACGAGUCCCAAAAAAGAUGAAACGCGCGUCCUGGAU